Thalassophryne amazonica is the source of this 270-nucleotide long non-coding RNA. RefSeq lists it as uncharacterized. The record is from RefSeq and is a predicted model, not a curated record. The transcript has 2 exons. Lineage: Eukaryota; Metazoa; Chordata; Actinopteri; Batrachoidiformes; Batrachoididae.
UGUCCAAGGUAGGGGAAAAAAGUGAAGAUCCUGAGUAUAAGACAGUUUCUUCAGACAUUUUCUGUGUUUGCCUGUCUCUGUGUGGACUGGUGACCUGUCCAAGGUGAAGGGGGGGGAAAAAAUCAGUCUUGGAUUCAGACUAUGUAUACAUAUCAGGUCAAAAUUUUGACCUCGGCCCAUGAUCUUGACUUUUAACCAAUUUUUCUCAAAAUAAAAUGACUUUGUUCUUGGCUGGCAUUUCACCAAGAUUGGUCCAAAUUGGAUCAAAAC